RNAcentral lists this small RNA (722 nucleotides) under Pongo abelii (Sumatran orangutan). RNAcentral describes it as "processed transcript". Lineage: Eukaryota; Metazoa; Chordata; Mammalia; Primates; Hominidae. The record is from RNAcentral.
GCCUCUAUCUCGUCCUCUGCUCCCGCGGGGGUCUGGGCUGAGAAUAAUGGCCCGGUUGGCCCGGGACGAGUGGAACGAUUAAUGAUGUUUUGCAGCAGUUUUCUACGUCUGAAAUUUUUUGUCUCUGGAACCCAGAAUUUGCUAAGAGAUGGAGGAACCUCAGAAAAGCUAUCUGAACACAAUGGACCUUGAGAAAGAUGAACCUCUCAAAAGCACCGGCCCUCAGAUUUCUGUUAGUGAAUUUUCUUGCCACUGCUGCUACGACAUCCUGGUUAACCCCACCACCUUGAACUGUGGGCACAGCUUCUGCCGUCACUGCCUUGCUUUAUGGUGGGCAUCUUCAAAGAAAACAGAAUGUCCAGAAUGCAGAGAAAAAUGGGAAGGUUUCCCCAAAGUCAAUAUUCUCCUCAGGGAUGCCAUUGAAAAGUUAUUUCCUGAUGCCAUUAGAAUGAGAUUUGAAGACAUUCAGCAGAAUAAUGACAUAGUCCAAAGCCUUGCAGCCUUUCAGAAAUAUGGGAAUGAUCAGAUUCCUUUAGCUCCUAACAGAGGCCCAGCGAAUCAGCAGAGAGGAGGGGGAUUCUUUUCCGGUGUGCUCACAGCUUUAACUGGAGUGGCAGUUGCUUUUAACUUUGACAGAGGAAGAAUUUUCCAAGACACCAUAUACCAUAGAAAACAGCAGCCACAGGAGGGCCAUCCUCGUGGAGCUAGAACGUGUCAAAGCA